CCUACGGGAGGCUGCAGUGGGGAAUAUUGGACAAUGGGCGAAAGCCUGAUCCAGCCAUGCCGCGUGUGUGAAGAAGGCCUUCGGGUUGUAAAGCACUUUCAGUGGGGAAGAAAGCCUUGGGGCUAAUACCCUCGAGGAAGGACAUCACCCACAGAAGAAGCACCGGCUAACUCCGUGCCAGCAGCCGCGGUAAUACGGAGGGUGCGAGCGUUAAUCGGAAUUACUGGGCGUAAAGCACGCGUAGGCGGUCUGAUAAGCCGGUUGGGAAAGCCCCGGGCUCAACCUGGGAACGGCAUCCGGAACUGUCAGGCUAGAGUGCAGGAGAGGAAGGUAGAAUUCCCGGUGUAGCGGUGAAAUGCGUAGAGAUCGGGAGGAAUACCAGUGGCGAAGGCGGCCUUCUGGACUGACACUGACGCUGAGGUGCGAAAGCGUGGGUAGCAAACAGGAUUAGAUACCCGGGUAGUC
Molecule: ribosomal RNA, 465 nt
Filed under: Vreelandella stevensii
Lineage: Bacteria; Pseudomonadati; Pseudomonadota; Gammaproteobacteria; Oceanospirillales; Halomonadaceae
Description: partial 16S ribosomal RNA
Rfam family: Bacterial small subunit ribosomal RNA
Source: RNAcentral